RNAcentral lists this ribosomal RNA (1588 nucleotides) under Aeromonas hydrophila. RNAcentral's name for it is "bacterial SSU rRNA". It matches the Rfam family "Bacterial small subunit ribosomal RNA". The record is from RNAcentral. Lineage: Bacteria; Pseudomonadati; Pseudomonadota; Gammaproteobacteria; Aeromonadales; Aeromonadaceae.
UCCUAUUUUCCAUUGUGGCUUUUUUUUUUUUGAAGCUCUCCCACCCUCAGCACUAGGGCCGUUGGGGGGCAGCUCACCACUAGCAUGUCGAGGGGCCGCGGGAAAAAAGUAUUUUGCUACUUUUGCCGGGGGGAGGGGGCGGGGGGGUGAGUAAUUUCCUGGGAAAUUUGCCCUUUAGUCGAGGGGGUUAACAGUGUGGAAACCGACUUUUUUAAUCCCGCAUACCGCCCUACAGGGGGAAAAGCAGGGGACCCUUCGGGCCCUUGCGCGAAUUGGAAUAUCGCCCAGGUGGGUUUUAGCUAGUUGGUGAGGUAAUGGCUCCCCAAGGGGACGAUCCCUAGCUGGUCUGGAGAGGAUGUUCAGCCCCCCUGGAACUGGGACCCGGUCCCAGAUUCCUUCGGGAGGCAGCCAGUGGGGAAUUUUGCCCAAUGGGGGAAACCCUGAUGCAGCCAUGCCGGGGUGUGUGAAGAAGGCCUUCGGGUUGUAAAGCACUUUCAGCGAGGAGGAAAGGUUGAUGCCUAAUACGUAUCAACUGUGACGUUACUCGCAGAAGAAGCACCGGCUAACUCCGUGCCAGCAGCCGCGGUAAUACGGAGGGUGCAAGCGUUAAUCGGAAUUACUGGGCGUAAAGCGCACGCAGGCGGUUGGAUAAGUUAGAUGUGAAAGCCCCGGGCUCAACCUGGGAAUUGCAUUUAAAACUGUCCAGCUAGAGUCUUGUAGAGGGGGGUAGAAUUCCAGGUGUAGCGGUGAAAUGCGUAGAGAUCUGGAGGAAUACCGGUGGCGAAGGCGGCCCCCUGGACAAAGACUGACGCUCAGGUGCGAAAGCGUGGGGAGCAAACAGGAUUAGAUACCCUGGUAGUCCACGCCGUAAACGAUGUCGAUUUGGAGGCUGUGUCCUUGAGACGUGGCUUCCGGAGCUAACGCGUUAAAUCGACCGCCUGGGGAGUACGGCCGCAAGGUUAAAACUCAAAUGAAUUGACGGGGGCCCGCACAAGCGGUGGAGCAUGUGGUUUAAUUCGAUGCAACGCGAAGAACCUUACCUGGCCUUGACAUGUCUGGAAUCCUGUAGAGAUUCCGGGAGUGCCUUCGGGAAUCAGAACCACAGGUGCUGCAUGGCUGUCGUCAGCUCGUGUCGUGAGAUGGUUGGGUUAAGUCCCGCAACGAGGGCAACCCCUGUCCUUUGUUGCCAGCACGUAAUGGUGGGAACUCAAGGGAGACUGCCGGUGAUAAACCGGAGGAAGGUGGGGGAUGACGUCAAGUCAUCAUGGCCCUUACGGCCAGGGUUACAACACGUGCUACAAUGGCGCCGGUACAGAGGGUUGCAAGCUAGCGCAUAGUUGAGCGAAUCCCAAAAAGCGCGUCGUGAUUCCGGAAUGGGUGUCUGGGACCUCGCCUCCGUGAAGUGGGAAUCGCUCGUAAUUCGCAAAUCAAGAAUGUUGCGGUGAAUACUUUCCCGGGCCUUGUACACACCGCCCGUCCCACCCUGGGGGUGGGUUGCACCCAGAAGUAGAUAGCUUUACCUCUCGGGAGGGCGUUUACCGUAGAGAUCACUUGCGGUGGUUGGUAAUUUCCAAAGUCUCACACUUAA